RNA transcript from Dama dama (fallow deer), 2557 nucleotides. RefSeq lists it as uncharacterized. The record is from RefSeq and is a predicted model, not a curated record. Lineage: Eukaryota; Metazoa; Chordata; Mammalia; Artiodactyla; Cervidae. The transcript is spliced from 7 exons.
CUGGGUGCACAGCAACUCAAAACACUGAGACAUCAAGGUCUGCCCCAAAGAGAGGGUCCAUCAGCAAGGCCGCCAAGCAAGGAGAUGGGAAAACAAACCUCAAAUCCAGUUCCCCUCAGGCAAGGGGCCUGUGUGUUUAUGGCAUGAAGACUGAAGAAGCAGGUCGUCUGAGACACGGGGACUGUGGGGAAAGGUGAUGGAAAGGGUAUCACGAUCCUCGCUCUGCGCAGGCAUAGCUCAGCAACAGGCCUCUGCACGUUCGCACACUCAGUUGAAAGGUCAGUGGUCCCAGCCAGUCUCAACCAGCUCAGCUCAAACUGGACACCGCUGACUCUUGCUCAGCUGAACUAAACACAGCUGACUCCAGCUUUCUAGAAAACUACCAGAGCAAGCGUCUUAUUGCUUCGGCGCCUUGCAGCCUGGAGGACGAGCCAGACGUCUGCAGCAACAAUUAAAACCACCUUGAUGAGUAAAGACAGUUCUCCUGACACAGAAAAAGUGCUCAGAUGUAUCUGCUGGAUGAACCAGAAAGGCCAUGAUAUCUCGGCUCAGCCUUAGCGAGAGUCAAGGUACCAGAUGGAAGCUGGUCCACGCAGACCCUCCGUGCUGUGAGGGCCCUGUGGCAGCCAGGCCUGCCAUGAGCCGCCGUCCAGGAGUUCAGACCUUCCCCCGCCCCCUCCUGGAGUGCCUCAGCGCUGGCCUGCAUGACCAACAGAAUCACGCUGCAUCCUUACCCUGUGAAUACCCCAGCCCUUCACCUUUGGGAAGCACCAACCCACAGAGCAAGACACCAGCAUUGUCUGGGGAGCGAUAAUGGCUGUGUUUCCAACAUCCCUGCCCACUGACCCUGACAGAUACCGCAAUGGUUCCUGCCAGGAAAUUCCCUGCCGCGUGGAAAACCCAGAGGAGGAAGCAGAGCCCCAUGGACCUCUCAGGCUCCACCCAGAGCUGCAGGAGUAAAACAAGCCCAUCAUCUCGGGCUCAGGGAUCCACAGGGACCUGGGAGCCUGUGACAAGACACACACACCACCAGGCCUCAUGCAGCCGCCUCUGUGCCUGUUCUACCAGGUCCGAGGUGGUUUGGACCCUGUGUACCACUUGAUAGAGCCCUCAAGGGAAAAGUGUUACCACCUCCAUUUUGCAAACAAGAAAAUCAGGGCUAAGAUCUAACUUGAGGUCAGCACCAAGGUCAGCUUCUCUCCUUCCAAGGCCGCUGGUAAAGUGAGCCUGGGCAUCUGGGGGGAGAUCCUAGUACCCCCGGCCCACCCACCAAUCCACGGUCUUCCCUGGGCUCUUCUCCUGGUGACUGGGCGCCUCGUCCAGCCUUCUUUCCCCUCGAGGACCGUGACCCCCGUCAUCGACUGGGCCACCGCCCCAGAGGGCAGCUAAGCCCUGGCUUCAGGGCUGGGUCCUCAUGUCAAGGAUCACCUGCCACCCAACCCCCAUGCUGGGGCAGACGGGGCUCAGACUCAGGGAGUGGGGGAUGGGUGAAGACCCCCCAGACUUGGGCAGGGUCUCCACUGUGCUCUUUCCCAGCCUUCUCCGAGACCAGGUGGACUCAGGACGACUGGCCCAUCGUCCUUACAAGCAGCAGGCAGAGCGAGCGAGGCUCAGGACCCCUGUUAUUCCCCAAAUGGUGUUCUCACCGAACAAACCACAAGUGCUGCAUCAUGUGUUUUCCACAUGUGGUCAGGGAUGGGCGGCCACUCGGACGCACGCCCAGGCAGCAGGAAAACCUCACUGAUUCCACCCUCAGGAGCUUGGGGGCCUCAACACACAUUUGUGAGCAACUGCUGGACACUCGCAAUGCCCACCACCCACGUGGUCUUCAAAGCCCACAACGCUGAGAGUCCCACUGAAACGUCCUGUCCAGCUAUCUCUGCCUCCAGCAGGAUGAGUCCCCCAUCUUUGGCCGGGGGGGCGGGGCAGUGCUCCAGUGGGCAGCACCCUCUUCCAGCUCUCAUCUAUGCCCGGGUUUGUCCCCAGCACAAGGAGCUUUCAAAGUGGGCACUCUCUUGCAUCACCAGAGCUGGACAGCACUCUGCCUGGAAAUAUGUUACCCAUGGCAGUGUGCGGCUCAAGGAAACGCUGUGGAAGGAAUGAGUGAGCAAGUGAGCAUCAUCGGCACCCACGUGGGUACCCACCGCUCUGGAUGCAGGAAAACUCAGUUUGCCGAGAGCACCUGCAACCCCCUCCCCAGAUCUGACUUCCAUCUGGGUCCCAGCCACCAAGCACCUGCGUGCAUGAAGCAGAGGGCCAAGCCAGGGACCCCAGAACAUCAAGGACCCCGGGACCAACUGUGGGUUCAGAACAUUGGGAGGGGCCACACAUGACCUUUUCCGAAGUUCUCCAGGCAUUUUAAUUGGCAGCCAGCACUCAGAAUCAUGGCUUAUAGUACACUCUGCUAUCUUUAAGAUGGAUAACCAGCAAGGACCUGCUUACAGCACAGGGAACUCUCCUCAGUGUUAGGUAGCAGCCUGGAUGGGAGGGGAGUUUGGGGGAGAAUGGAUACACGUGUAUGUAUGGCUGAGUCCCUCUCUGUUCACCUGUAACUAUC